GCUAGAUUAGUAUGGCUAUAGUACGUCGAAUUUAGGAUUCGAAAGAAAACCUUAGUAGGUUUAUUUAGCU
RNAcentral lists this transfer RNA (70 nucleotides) under Crassostrea tulipa. RNAcentral describes it as "tRNA-Leu". The record is from RNAcentral. Lineage: Eukaryota; Metazoa; Mollusca; Bivalvia; Ostreida; Ostreidae.